GGACUCCCGUCCCCCCAUGUCCUCCACCGUCAUCACCUCCCCCUCCGACAGGCUCACGUUCAGCACCUGCAAACGCACACACCACACAGGCUGAAACAGCAGCUGCAGCUGAAUGUACUGAAGGCCACUCCAGAGAAUGUGCUGUAGUUUUACUGGUUGAAUAAUGUAGCAUUGGCAUAAGCCACAUUUAGGGGAGGGGAACAUCUGCAGUUUCCUCCGAACUCUAUGUAUUAUCUAGAGUAUAGCAGUGGGAAUCAGAUAUGAAAGACAACCAGGGAUCUGAUAAUCAUCUUGAACAAAUGCACCAGACUACAGUGCAUCUACUGUCCCAGUGAUAUCUUGUAGCCUGUCCCCUGAUCCAGACUUCAGGCCUGGCGUGUGGUGUGGGAGCSUGCUGUGGCCUCCGGAUAGGCUGCUCUCCCAGGGGGAAUGAGAGUGUCACUGAGGCAGACUGAGGGAGCUCAGAGUGCGAUGCGGAGGAUCACCAGGCGAGUCACUGGCACCAGAAUGAAUUUGGUCUCACUGACAACCUGUCACUCGGUUGAGGGGAUGCCAACGAUGGGUGUGAGGGGGUUUACUCCCGCUAUCACAGACAGAGCUGAAAUGCGACUGUCUGUUACUCUGUCUCCCUCAGACAUCAGCCAAGACUGAGGUCAAACUCCUUUUGUUCUUACCCAGAAUGCUACACAAAAAUAAAGCUUUCCCAGGUCAUCAAA
Molecule: long non-coding RNA, 716 nt
Organism: Salvelinus sp. IW2-2015
Lineage: Eukaryota; Metazoa; Chordata; Actinopteri; Salmoniformes; Salmonidae
Source: RefSeq, a predicted model, not a curated record